GAACGCGAAGAACUUACCCGGGCUUGAAUUGCAGAGGAAGGAUUUAGAGAUAAUGACGCCUUCGGGGCCUCUGUGAAGGUGCUGCAUGGUUGUCGUCAGCUCGUGCCGUGAGGUGUCGGCUUAAGUGCCAUAACGAGCGCAACCCCUCUCUUCAGUUGCCAUCAGGUUAAGCUGGGCACUCUGGAGACACUGCCACCGUAAGGUGUGAGGAAGGUGGGGAUGACGUCAAAUCAGCACGGCCUUACGUCCGGGGCUACACACGUGUUACAAUGGCCGGUACAGAGGGAUGGUGUAAUGCAAAUUGCAUCAAAUCUUGAAAGCCGGUCCCAGUUCGGACUGGGGUCUGCAACCCGACCCCACGAAGCUGGAUUCGCUAGUAAUCGCGCAUCAGCCAUGGCGCGGUGAAUACGUUCCCGGGUCUUGUACACACC
Molecule: ribosomal RNA, 431 nt
Filed under: uncultured bacterium
Lineage: Bacteria
Description: bacterial SSU rRNA
Rfam family: Bacterial small subunit ribosomal RNA
Source: RNAcentral